RNAcentral lists this long non-coding RNA (627 nucleotides) under Fukomys damarensis (Damara mole-rat). RNAcentral describes it as "lncRNA (ENSFDAG00000028466.1)". The record is from RNAcentral. Lineage: Eukaryota; Metazoa; Chordata; Mammalia; Rodentia; Bathyergidae.
GGGAUGUUAGAGAAACAAAACCAGAGGGAGACAGUUGCAAAACUUCACCCUUCACCACUGUCAUCUGGAUGAGCUCCUGCCAGAGACUCUCUGGGGUUUUAGAAAGCAUAGUAGGUUUUGGGGAAAAGUGAAACUAUGUGAAUGGCAUGGCCUUCGCAGAAGAAUACACAGGUGAGCGUAGACGUAAUUGAUAGGAAAGGUCCUGGUAUGUAACAGGGGGAGCAAAGGAGCAAGAACUGCAUUCUGGGAAACUCCCUCCCAACUCGAGGUGGAGAGGGUCGGAGAAAGAAACCGAAAGUAAACAAGGAAAGGCUUUCAUUGAGGAAGCAAAGAAGAAUAAAGACCACUAUUAUUUGUCGGGUCUAUUGUACAGGCUAAGUGUUGGGCCAUUUCCUGUUCGCCCCUGCUCCGGCUUCAUGGCAGCCCUUGCUGAUGUCGAUGAGGUCUUAUUCUUGGAAGUCCUAUCUCGCUCUGGCUGUGUCCACCCUAUGCAUCCUCUGCCGGCCUCCCAGGGGAGGAGGUUGGAAUUCUCCAUGGAGUAGGACCAGGUAAGAGUUUAAAACUGUACUUUCAAGACCACAAGAAGAAAAAAAUAAAUAAAGUAACAACCAAUAUUUAUUUGCAGCC